Molecule: ribosomal RNA, 253 nt
Filed under: uncultured bacterium
Lineage: Bacteria
Description: partial 16S ribosomal RNA
Rfam family: Bacterial small subunit ribosomal RNA
Source: RNAcentral
UACGGAGGAUGCAAGCGUUAUCCGGAAUUAUUGGGCGUAAAGCGUCCGCAGGUGGCACUUCAAGUCUGUCGUCAAAGACCGGGGCUUAACCCUGGAAAGGCGAUGGAAACUGAAAGGCUAGAGAGAGGUAGGGGUAGAGGGAAUUCCCAGUGUAGCGGUGAAAUGCGCAGAUAUCGGGAGGAACACCAGUAGCGAAGGCGGCUCGCUGGGCCAUUCCUGACGCUGAGACGCGAAAGCUAGGGGAGCGAACAGG